UCAGGUACCAUUGCUAGAUGGUCACUUCGAUUAGUAUAGGAAUUGGUUCCUGUGCUACCAGCUUAGGUUCGAACCUGCGGGGUCACACACAUUAGAGGUUUAUAUCUGAUCUGAUGACUGAUGAAGAGUCCUAAUGCUUGUGGACUAUGAUUCCUAUGUGUCUGGGACUUUGUGAUCAAGAAUCAGGAUUCUCUGAUCGUGAGUCGCACACAUUUUGGGUACCGAG
This 226-nucleotide long non-coding RNA is filed under the name Elaeis guineensis (African oil palm). RNAcentral's name for it is "long non-coding RNA (EGUI_LNC066967)". Lineage: Eukaryota; Viridiplantae; Streptophyta; Magnoliopsida; Arecales; Arecaceae. The record is from RNAcentral.